This 463-nucleotide ribosomal RNA is filed under the name uncultured bacterium. Its description in RNAcentral is "partial 16S ribosomal RNA". It matches the Rfam family "Bacterial small subunit ribosomal RNA", at positions 28 to 507 of the family's 1533-position model. The record is from RNAcentral.
GACGAACGCUGGCGGCGUGCUUAACACAUGCAAGUCGAACGGAAAGGCCUUUUCGGCGGUACUCGAGUGGCGAACGGGUGAGUAACACGUGGGUGAUCUGCCCUGCACUCUGGGAUAAGCCUGGGAAACUGGGUCUAAUACCGGAUAGGACCGCACUUUAGUGUGUGUGGUGGAAAGUUUUUUCGGUGUAGGAUGAGCCCGCGGCCUAUCAGCUUGUUGGUGGGGUAAUGGCCUACCAAGGCGGCGACGGGUAGCCGGACUGAGAGGUUGGUCGGCCACAUUGGGACUGAGAUACGGCCCAGACUCCUACGGGAGGCAGCAGUGGGGAAGAUUGCACAAUGGGCGCAAGCCUGAUGCAGCGACGCCGCGUGGGGGAUGACGGCCUUCGGGUUGUAAACUCCUUUCGCCAGGGACGAAGCGUUUUGUGACGGUACCUGGAGAAGAAGCACCGGCUAACUACGUG